UCAGAUACCUGGCCAAUGAGAUGAAGUUGUACCACUUCCAUCAGUCCAGACAUUUGUCAAAGAAGUGCAGUUUAUAAAUGACCAAGUGGAUGAAGCAGCCACACUCUCACCGGUCCAGAUAUUCCUCAAAGAAGAGGAAGGUGCGUAUUGUAAGGCAGAAGAGCCUGUGCUGGUCUCACUUGUCCCAGUGCUUCUCAAAGAAGAACAUGUGCUUGAUGAAUCGCCGGAGGACUUUGAAGUUGGCAGUCACCAAUUGCUAAUAAAUCUGGGCUAAGACUGGAGGGAAUUGGCUAAGUAGUGAUGCUAUCCCGACACUUUUUGAUUUUCCGGAGCAUAUGAAAUCGAAGAGGCCUAAGCACCGUAAAUCACACACUAGAAGGCGUUCGUUAGAUGAUGCCUGGUCUUCUGAAAUCUGUGCUUCCAAUGCCUUGACAAUAUGCAAUAUGGAAACGAACACCCCCC
Molecule: long non-coding RNA, 462 nt
Organism: Schistocerca nitens (vagrant locust)
Lineage: Eukaryota; Metazoa; Arthropoda; Insecta; Orthoptera; Acrididae
Exons: 6
Source: RefSeq, a predicted model, not a curated record